GUCAGGGAGGGCAGGGGGUGACAGUCCCCCAGGGGCUUGCCCACAUCGUGUAGGUGCUUAACUGAGUCAACAUUUUACAAAACAUUUACAGUGUGCCCACCAGAUGCUAAGGGAUUACAAAGAACGAAAGGAGGUUACAACUUAGCUAGACAGAAGAAAGGAAGAGUAUACAACACAGCGCAGUCUAGGAACUGGCAGUGCUUCUGUGAAAAAACUCAGAAAUUCUGGCCUGGGAAGACUGCUUGCCUAAGGACCCCUUCCACAAUUACAACCAAAUAUUACUCAAUAUCAACCUUUGGGAUACGUAAGAAGAGGGGAUUUUCUGAUUCAAUAUUUCUGUUUGGGAAUUUAAACAGACACAUAAUGCAAUGGCUAGAUCUGAAGUGAACAGAGCUGAAGAAGGGUGGUGUAGUAGUUCCUGUUCCUUUCCUGCCUCACUUCCUGGCCUCAAGUGAUCUACCUGCCUG
This 467-nucleotide long non-coding RNA is filed under the name Homo sapiens (human). RNAcentral's name for it is "HSALNT0392492". Lineage: Eukaryota; Metazoa; Chordata; Mammalia; Primates; Hominidae. The record is from RNAcentral.